RNAcentral lists this ribosomal RNA (520 nucleotides) under uncultured Glomus. Its description in RNAcentral is "SSU rRNA". It matches the Rfam family "Eukaryotic small subunit ribosomal RNA", at positions 569 to 1090 of the family's 1831-position model. Lineage: Eukaryota; Fungi; Glomeromycota; Glomeromycetes; Glomerales; Glomeraceae. The record is from RNAcentral.
AGCAGCCGCGGUAAUUCCAGCUCCAAUAGCGUAUAUUAAAGUUGUUGCAGUUAAAAGCUCGUAGUUGAAUUUCGGGGUUAGUAGGUUGGUCAUGCCUCUGGUAUGUACUGGUCUCACUGAUUCCUCCUUCCUGAUGAACCUUAAUGCCAUUAAUUUGGUGUUUUGGGGAAUUUGGACUGUUACUUUGAAAAAAUUAGAGUGUUUAAAGCAAGCUAACGCUUGAAUACAUUAGCAUGGAAUAAUGAAAUAGGACGUUCGAUCCUAUUUUGUUGGUUUCUAGGAUUGACGUAAUGAUUAAUAGGGAUAGUUGGGGGCAUUAGUAUUCAAUUGUCAGAGGUGAAAUUCUUGGAUUUAUUGAAGACUAACUACUGCGAAAGCAUUUGCCAAGGAUGUUUUUCAUUAAUCAAGAACGAAAGUUAGGGGAUCGAAGAUGAUCAGAUACCGUCGUAGUCUUAACCAUAAACUAUGCCGACUAGGGAUCGGAUGAUGUUAAUUUUUUAAUGACUCAUUCGGCGCCUUA